AAUUACAGAAAGCACACAACACCCUACAGUGAGCAGAACGCAGCUCCUUCCCUCCACCCACCUCCCCACUACAGAGAAUGAUCCAGCCCAAUGCCAAAAGCACUGAAGCCGGGAACCCUGACUGAGAUCUCAGCUUCAAUGCUCCUUCCUCAGAGACCUUUCUGUCCCUGACCUUUCUGAGGAGUAUACCCUCUUUUUAUGGGCCCUCAAAACCCCCUCCCUGUGGCAUUUGUUUUAGUUAACAAUUCUACACUUAUGCAUGUGAAUUUGUGAUUAGCAUCCAUCUCCCCCAUCACAGUUAUGAGGGCGAGAGCUAGUUUCCUCCCUGUUGUGCAGGGCACAUAGCACAACGCCUGGCCCCGUAGUCAGGCUCACUAAAUAUUUGCUGAAAGUAGAAAUGAAUAAACAGGACUGUAGCUUCUAGGGGCUUCUGUGGGAGCCAGUAUCGCCAUUCAUACCUGGGGAUUAUGGGAUAUUUUCAACAAAAACAUGCACUUUGCACAAAGUGAAAGUCAGAGCCUGGAGCCUGUGCAAACGGUGCCUUGAGCAGCUCUACGGCGAGUGUGAGGAUGCAGUCAGGGGUCCUUCAGCAGGAGCCGGGGCAUCCUGCAGAACACAGGGCCGGGAUCUUCAGAUGUGCAGCAGGGAGGGGGCUUGGCACAGCCCCAUGAGUUUGAGAAGCUUGAGGCAUUAAGGUGAGUUUCUUGUGGUGCAGCGCGCCAGCAGUGAAGGGAAGUGGUUCUCUCUCCCCUCAUGCACAGACACGCACAAUGUCCAGGAUCCAGGCAGAGAAGCUUCAUCAAAGUUGUCUGUGUUUUGCCGCAGCCGAAUAAAAGCUGUAGGCUUUUCUAAGAAGGGUUAUAAAAGGGAGCAGCCGUGAAGCCCGUGGACAAGUCAUCAAUUACAGCAAUUACAGUAGCACCAUAACCUUCCCAGGCUUGCUGGAGGGAGGUUGCUGUGGCCACAGGAGGUGCACCGCGGAUUACAGGACUAAAGGCCUUCUCUGCUUCUUCACAGUGAUCCAUCUCUGCCCAGCACCCAAGUACUGAGUUAACCUACAACGUGGUUCAGAAUUAAAACAUAAAAUGCCAGGGCCCUCCCCCAGUUAGCAGUAUUGGUUGGAAACAUGUUUAGCAGUGAGUAACAGAAGUCCCAAGAAAUAAUGGCUAAAACAAACAAGAGUAUGUGUCUUCACAUAGUAAGGUAUCAAGAGGUGGCUGUCACUUUAAGUUCACUUUCUCAUGGAUGCCAUCAAACACCAGGUUUAUUCAACCUUCAUGCACUGCCAUCACCUUCCCAUCCACGGACUCUUCCGACAUCUGCUGAACGUCAUCACAAGGGGGCUGCCAUAGCUCCACCCGUUGUAUCAGCAUUCAGGGAAGGAGGACAGUGCCAACAAUAUGUCUGCUCAUUUUUUUAAGAGAGGAAAAGACUCUCCUGGAAGUCCACGGCAGCAUUAUGCUUACUUCUUACUUGCCAGAACUUUGUCAUAUGGUCAGACUUUAAAGCAGAGAGGCCUUUGCUGUCAGUGGAAUACAGCAACACACAAGACAGACACAGUUGCCUUCCCGCUGAGGCUGGACGUCUACAAAGAAACUCUGGACAGCUAUUUGCCAAGGCGAUGGGCACUACAGAUGAGACGCACAAAUGAUAUGACUCAUGGGUGACGCUGGGCAAACCUCGGUGGUUGAGUCCUGUUGGGUUUUCUCAUAGGAGGUGAGUUGGAAGCGGAGACCUACAAGUAGGUCAGAUAGGAUGGUGUGAAAAGAGCCCCACCCAGCCUACAGGGACCACAUGUAGGGAUAAAGAAAGGAGCAGGAUAAUUUCCAAGGACUAGAAUCCCAGCUUGGUUGGAGUUCAGAGCCUGAGAGCAGAAUUUUCUCCAGGACAAGGCAGAAGGAACUUGCGGGAAGCUUCCCCUAUCACCCCUGCUCCCCACACCUGUAGAGAUUAAAUGAAGAUAUCUGUUUCUUAAGCACCUGUACCCCCACCACAGCCUCUGGAAUGUGAUAGGCA
Long non-coding RNA from Homo sapiens (human), 2016 nucleotides. NCBI's taxonomy places the organism in Eukaryota, Metazoa, Chordata, Mammalia, Primates, Hominidae. The record is from Ensembl.